RNAcentral lists this ribosomal RNA (253 nucleotides) under uncultured bacterium. RNAcentral describes it as "partial 16S ribosomal RNA". It matches the Rfam family "Bacterial small subunit ribosomal RNA", at positions 524 to 776 of the family's 1533-position model. The record is from RNAcentral.
UACGUAGGUGGCAAGCGUUGUCCGGAUUUACUGGGCGUAAAGCGCACGUAGGCGGCUUGUUAAGUCAGGGGUGAAAUCCUGGAGCUCAACUCCAGAACUGCCUUUGAUACUGGCGAGCUUGAGUUCGGGAGAGGUGAGUGGGACUGCGAGUGUAGAGGUGAAAUUCGUAGAUAUUCGCAAGAACACCAGUGGCGAAGGCGGCUCACUGGCCCGAUACUGACGCUGAGGUGCGAAAGCGUGGGGAGCAAACAGG